Molecule: long non-coding RNA, 422 nt
Filed under: Rattus norvegicus (Norway rat)
Lineage: Eukaryota; Metazoa; Chordata; Mammalia; Rodentia; Muridae
Description: long non-coding RNA NONRATT007763
Source: RNAcentral
GCGGGAAGGAUGAUGCUGGCUCUGUGGCCAGAGCGGCGGAUGCAGACCGGGAACAGGGUUGACGUUUGGCUAACGAGACGUGUGUCCCGAAGCAGCCGGCGCCGGUGUCGCUGAGGCGGCGCGGAGGGCUGACUGACUGAAGGCGGCAACCCGAGAGCCGGCCCCGGCAGGGGACCGCGCGGUGGACGAAAUGCCGGGACCACCGGCAUCAUCGCCGCUGCCGAUGCCGCUGCUGCUGCUUCUGCUCUUGACCGUCGGCAGUGCCCGGGCCGCGCCACUUCCGCAAACAGGUGCAGGGGACGCACCUGUUGUAGAAGUUCCCUCCUUGUUUGUGAUCCUGUCGGUGUGCAGUUUAAUGGUACUGAUAGUGUUAAUUGCAAACUGUGUUUCCUGCUGUAAGGACCCAGAAAUAGACUUUAAGG